GACGAACGCUGGCGGCGUGCUUAACACAUGCAAGUCGAACGGAAAGGCCCUGCUUUUGUGGGGUGCUCGAGUGGCGAACGGGUGAGUAACACGUGAGUAACCUGCCCUUGACUUUGGGAUAACUUCAGGAAACUGGGGCUAAUACCGGAUAGGAGCUCCUGCUGCAUGGUGGGGGUUGGAAAGUUUCGGCGGUUGGGGAUGGACUCGCGGCUUAUCAGCUUGUUGGUGGGGUAGUGGCUUACCAAGGCUUUGACGGGUAGCUGGCCUGAGAGGGUGACCGGACAAACUGGGACUGAGCUGCGGCCCAGACUCGUACGGGAGGGAGCAGUGGGGAAUGUUGCAUUAGGGGCGGAAGCCUGAUGUAGCAACGCCGCGCGCGGGAUGAGGGCCAUCGGUUUGUAAUGCGAUGCCGCUUGUGACGAAGCGUGAGUGACGGUAAUGGGUAAAGAAGCACCGGCUAACUACGUG
This 468-nucleotide ribosomal RNA is filed under the name uncultured bacterium. Its description in RNAcentral is "partial 16S ribosomal RNA". It matches the Rfam family "Bacterial small subunit ribosomal RNA", at positions 28 to 507 of the family's 1533-position model. The record is from RNAcentral.